RNAcentral lists this long non-coding RNA (652 nucleotides) under Coturnix japonica (Japanese quail). Its description in RNAcentral is "lncRNA (ENSCJPG00005002142.1)". The record is from RNAcentral. Lineage: Eukaryota; Metazoa; Chordata; Aves; Galliformes; Phasianidae.
GUGCAACGUGAUGCUCACGUCUGGGGCUGGGUGCAGCCUCACUGCAGCUGAUGCAGGGGAUGAUGCAUGGGGGGCUGCAGUGCUGGGAGGUGCAACGUGAUGCAUUGGGGGCUGCAGUGCUGGGAGGUGCAAGGUGAUGCAUUGGGGGUUGCUUUGCUUGGAAGUGCAGAGCUGGGCCUGGAUGCUGGAACACGGAGUUGCAAGGGCUGCUCCUUUUGCUCUGCAUUCCCGUUUGUUCCUUCUGCAUUCCCAUGUGUUGCAAUGACUUUGCGUUGUUUGCUCUGUUCUUGGGGUUGCAAGGGCUGUUUGUUUUGCUCUGCACUAUCAUUUGUUGUUGCAAUGACUUUGCGUUGUUUGCUCUGUUCCUUUUGCUCUGCACUCCCAUUAUUUGUUGGGAUGAGUUUGUUUGCAUUGUUUGCUCUGUUCUUGGAACUGCAAGGGCUGCUCCCUUUGCUCUGCACUCCCAUGUGUUGCAAUGACUUUGCAUUGUUUGCUCUGCUCCUUCUGCUCUGCACUCCACGUGUUGGGAUGAGUUUGAUUGCAUUGUUUGCUUUGUUCUUGGGGUUGUUUGCUCUGCUCCCUUUGCUCUGCACUCCCAUGUGUUGGUAUGGGUUUGACUGCAUUGUUUGCUCUGUUCCUUCUGCAUUCCCAU